GCCGGGAUGGCGGAAUUGGCAGACGCAGCGGACUUAAAAUCCGCCGGGGCAACCCUUGUGGGUUCGAGUCCCACUCCCGGCACCA
This 85-nucleotide transfer RNA is filed under the name Chloroflexi bacterium RBG_16_51_9. Its description in RNAcentral is "tRNA-Leu". It matches the Rfam family "tRNA". Rfam says of the family: Transfer RNA (tRNA) molecules are approximately 80 nucleotides in length. The record is from RNAcentral. Lineage: Bacteria; Bacillati; Chloroflexota.